RNAcentral lists this unclassified non-coding RNA (349 nucleotides) under soil metagenome. RNAcentral's name for it is "partial contains 5.8S ribosomal RNA, internal transcribed spacer 2, and large subunit ribosomal RNA". The stretch from base 1 to 120 matches the Rfam family "5.8S ribosomal RNA", at positions 35 to 154 of the family's 154-position model. The record is from RNAcentral.
GAUGAAGAACGCAGCGAAAUGCGAAAAGUAAUGUGAAUUGCAGAAUUCAGUGAAUCAUCGAAUCUUUGAACGCACAUUGCGCCCGCCAGUAUUCUGGCGGGCAUGCCUGUCUGAGCGUCAUUUCAACCCUCACGCCCCUAGGGCGUGGUGUUGGGGAUCGGCCAGCGCCCUCGCGGGCGAGGCCGUCCCCUAAAUCUAGUGGCGGACCCGUCGUGGCCUCCCCUGCGAAGUAGUGAUAUUCCGCAUAGGAGAGCGACGAGCCCCUGCCGUUAAACCCCCAACUUUCUCAGGUUGACCUCAGAUCAGGUAGGAAUACUCGCUGAACUUAAGCAUAUCAAUAAGCGGAGGA